RNAcentral lists this long non-coding RNA (616 nucleotides) under Equus asinus (donkey). RNAcentral's name for it is "lncRNA (ENSEASG00005035813.1)". Lineage: Eukaryota; Metazoa; Chordata; Mammalia; Perissodactyla; Equidae. The record is from RNAcentral.
UACUUCAUGAUGGUACAGGUACUUCAUGGGUAGUACAGGUACUUCAUGGGUAGUACAGAUACUUCAUGGAUAGUACAGAUACUUCAUGGAUGAUACAGUUACUUCAUGGGGAGUACAGGUACUUCAUGGGGAGUACAGGUACUUCAUGGAUAGAACAGGUACUUCAUGGAUGGUACAGGUACUUCACGGGUAGUACAGGUACUUCAUGGUUAGAACAGGUACUUCAUGGGUAGAACAGGUACUUCGUGGGUAGAACAGAUACUUCAUGGAUAGUACAGGUACUUCAUGGAUAGAACAGGUACUUCAUGCAUAGUACAGAUACUUCAUGGAUAGAACAGGUACUUCAUGGAUAGAACAGGUACUUCAUGCAUAGUACAGAUACUUCAUGGAUAGAACAGGUACUUCAUGCAUAGUACAGAUACUUCAUGCAUAGUACAGAUACUUCAUGGAUAGAACAGGUACUUCAUGCAUAGUACAGAUACUUCAUGGAUAGUACAGGUACUUCAUGCAUAGUACAGAUACUUCAUGGAUAGUACAGGUACUUCAUGGAUAGAACAGGUACUUCAUGGGUAGAACAGGUACUUCCUGGAUGGUACAGGUACUUCAUGGGUAGUAC